ACUAUCGUUAACUGAAUACAUAGGUUAACGAGGCGAACCGGGGGAACUGAAACAUCUAAGUACCCCGAGGAAAAGAAAUCAACCGAGAUUCCCCCAGUAGCGGCGAGCGAACGGGGAGCAGCCCAGAGUCUGAAUCAGCUUGUGUGUUAGUGGAACGGUCUGGAAAGUCCGACGGUACAGGGUGAUAGUCCCGUACACCAAAAUGCACAGGUUGUGAACUCGAAGAGUAGGGCGGGACACGUGGUAUCCUGUCUGAAUAUGGGGGGACCAUCCUCCAAGGCUAAAUACUCCUGACUGACCGAUAGUGAACCAGUACCGUGAGGGAAAGGCGAAAAGAACCCCGGCGAGGGGAGUGAAAAAGAACCUGAAACCGUGUACGUACAAGCAGUGGGAGCACCUUCGGGUGUGACUGCGUACCUUUUGUAUAAUGGGUCAGCGACUUAUAUUCUGUAGCAAGGUUAACCGUAUAGGGGAGCCGCAGGGAAACCGAGUCUUAACUGGGCGUUAAGUUGCAGGGUAUAGACCCGAAACCCGGUGAUCUAGCCAUGGGCAGGUUGAAGGUUGGGUAACACUAACUGGAGGACCGAACCGACUAAUGUUGAAAAAUUAGCGGAUGACUUGUGGCUGGGGGUGAAAGGCCAAUCAAACCGGGAGAUAGCUGGUUCUCCCCGAAAGCUAUUUAGGUAGCGCCUCGUGAAUUCAUCUUCGGGGGUAGAGCACUGUUUCGGCUAGGGGGUCAUCCCGACUUACCAACCCGAUGCAAACUACGAAUACCGAAGAAUGUUAUCACGGGAGACACACGGCGGGUGCUAACGUCCGUCGUGAAGAGGGAAACAACCCAGACCGCCAGCUAAGGUCCCAAAGUCAUGGUUAAGUGGGAAACGAUGUGGGAAGGCACAGACAGCCAGGAUGUUGGCUUAGAAGCAGCCAUCAUUUAAAGAAAGCGUAAUAGCUCACUGGUCGAGUCGGCCUGCGCGGAAGAUGUAACGGGGCUAAACCAUGCACCGAAGCUGCGGCAGCGACACUAUGUGUUGUUGGGUAGGGGAGCGUUCUGUAAGCCUGNUGCUGGAGGUAUCAGAAGUGCGAAUGCUGACAUAAGUAACGAUAAAGCGGGUGAAAAGCCCGCUCGCCGGAAGACCAAGGGUUCCUGUCCAACGUUAAUCGGGGCAGGGUGAGUCGACCCCUAAGGCGAGGCCGAAAGGCGUAGUCGAUGGGAAACAGGUUAAUAUUCCUGUACUUGGUGUUACUGCGAAGGGGGGACGGAGAAGGCUAUGUUAGCCGGGCGACGGUUGUCCCGGUUUAAGCAUGUAGGCUGGUUAUCCAGGCAAAUCCGGAUAAUCAAGGCUGAGGUGUGAUGACGAGGCACUACGGUGCUGAAGUAACAAAUGCCCUGCUUCCAGGAAAAGCCUCUAAGCAUCAGGUAACAUCAAAUCGUACCCCAAACCGACACAGGUGGUCAGGUAGAGAAUACCAAGGCGCUUGAGAGAACUCGGGUGAAGGAACUAGGCAAAAUGGUGCCGUAACUUCGGGAGAAGGCACGCUGGUGUGUAGGUGAAGUCCCUGCGGAUGGAGCUGAGACCAGUCGAAGAUACCAGCUGGCUGCAACUGUUUAUUAAAAACACAGCACUGUGCAAACACGAAAGUGGACGUAUACGGUGUGACGCCUGCCCGGUGCCGGAAGGUUAAUUGAUGGGGUUAUCCGUAAGGAGAAGCUCUUGAUCGAAGCCCCGGUAAACGGCGGCCGUAACUAUAACGGUCCUAAGGUAGCGAAAUUCCUUGUCGGGUAAGUUCCGACCUGCACGAAUGGCGUAAUGAUGGCCAGGCUGUCUCCACCCGAGACUCAGUGAAAUUGAACUCGCUGUGAAGAUGCAGUGUACCCGCGGCAAGACGGAAAGACCCCGUGAACCUUUACUAUAGCUUGACACUGAACAUUGAGCCUUGAUGUGUAGGAUAGGUGGGAGGCUUUGAAGCGUGGACGCCAGUCUGCGUGGAGCCAACCUUGAAAUACCACCCUUUAAUGUUUGAUGUUCUAACGUUGGCCCCUGACCGGGGUUGCGGACAGUGUCUGGUGGGUAGUUUGACUGGGGCGGUCUCCUCCCAAAGCGUAACGGAGGAGCACGAAGGUUAGCUAAUCCUGGUCGGACAUCAGGAGGUUAGUGCAAUGGCAUAAGCUAGCUUGACUGCGAGCGUGACGGCGCGAGCAGGUGCGAAAGCAGGUCAUAGUGAUCCGGUGGUUCUGAAUGGAAGGGCCAUCGCUCAACGGAUAAAAGGUACUCCGGGGAUAACAGGCUGAUACCGCCCAAGAGUUCAUAUCGACGGCGGUGUUUGGCACCUCGAUGUCGGCUCAUCACAUCCUGGGGCUGAAGUAGGUCCCAAGGGUAUGGCUGUUCGCCAUUUAAAGUGGUACGCGAGCUGGGUUUAGAACGUCGUGAGACAGUUCGGUCCCUAUCUGCCGUGGGCGCUGGAGAAUUGAGGGGGGCUGCUCCUAGUACGAGAGGACCGGAGUGGACGCAUCACUGGUGUUCGGGUUGUCAUGCCAAUGGCACUGCCCGGUAGCUAAAUGCGGAAGAGAUAAGUGCUGAAAGCAUCUAAGCACGAAACUUGCCCCGAGAUGAGUUCUCCCUGAGACUUUAAGUCUCCUGAAGGAACGUUGAAGACGACGACGUUGAUAGGCCGGGUGUGUAAGCGCAGCGAUGCGUUGAGCUAACCGGUACUAAUGAACCGUGAGGCUUAACC
RNAcentral lists this ribosomal RNA (2736 nucleotides) under Klebsiella pneumoniae. Its description in RNAcentral is "bacterial LSU rRNA". It matches the Rfam family "Bacterial large subunit ribosomal RNA". Lineage: Bacteria; Pseudomonadati; Pseudomonadota; Gammaproteobacteria; Enterobacterales; Enterobacteriaceae. The record is from RNAcentral.